UUGGAGGGCAAGUCUGGUGCCAGCGGCCGCGGUAAUUCCAGCUCCAAUAGCGUAUAUUAAAGUUGUUGCAGUUAAAAAGCUCGUAGUUGAAUUUCGGAAUCUGUCCAUUGGUCGGGCUUCACUGUCCGUACAGGUGUGGUGGGUUCUUACCUUCUGAAUAACCAGCAUGCCAUUUAUUUGGUGCGUUGGGGAAGCAGGACUAUUACCUUGAAAAAAUUAGAGUGCUCAAAGCAGGCUAGUGCCUGAAUACAUUAGCAUGGAAUAAUGAAAUAGGACGUUUGAUCUUAUUUCGUUGGUUUCUAAGAUCGACGUAAUGAUUAAUAGGGAUAGUUGGGGGCAUUAGUAUUCAAUUGUCAGAGGUGAAAUUCUUGGAUUUAUUGAAGACUAACUACUGCGAAAGCAUUUGCCAAGGAUGUUUUCAUUAAUCAAGAACGAAAGUUAGGGGAUCGAAGACGAUCAGAUACCGUCGUAGUCUUAACCAUAAACUAUGCCGACUAGGGAUCGGAUGAUGUUAAUUUUUUAAUGACUCAUUCGGCGCCUUACGGGAAAC
This 550-nucleotide ribosomal RNA is filed under the name uncultured Glomeromycotina. RNAcentral describes it as "SSU rRNA". It matches the Rfam family "Eukaryotic small subunit ribosomal RNA", at positions 548 to 1098 of the family's 1831-position model. Lineage: Eukaryota; Fungi; Glomeromycota. The record is from RNAcentral.